GUGAUUUGCAAGUUAAAUGGGUGAUUGUCAAAGAGAAAACGCGUGAUUUUCUCUUAAAUGGGGGAUUGUCAGAGAGAAAACGCGUGAUUUUCGGUCUAAAUGGGGGAUUCUCGAAGAGAAAUCGCGUGAUUUUCGCUUAAAUGGGGGAUUCUCGAAGAGAAAACGUGUGAUUUUCGGGUUAAAUGGGGAAUUGUCGAAGAGAAAACGCGUGAUUUUUGCUUAAAUGGGGGAUUUGCGAAGAGAAAACGCGUACUUUUUCGGUUAAAUGGGGGAUUCCCAAAGAGAAAACGCGUGAUUUUCGGCUUAAAUGGGGGAUUCUCGAAGAGAAGACGCGUGAUUUUUGCGUUAAGUGGGGGAUUUCUGAAGAGAAAAUGCGUGAUUUUCAGGUAAACUCGGUGAUUCUCAAAGAGAAAACGCGUGAUUUUUUGGGUAUAGUGGGGGAUUCUUGAAAAGAAAGCACUUGAUCUUCGCUUAAAUGUGAGCUUCUCAAAGGGAAAACGUGUGAUUUUCGCUUAAAUGGCGGAUUUCCGAAUAGAAAACGCGUGAUUUUCGAGUUAAGUGGGGGUUUCUCGAUGAGAAAACGCGUGAUUUUCAGUUAAAUGGCGGAUUUCCAAAGAGAAAACGUGUGAUUUGCAAGUUAAAUGGGUGAUUGUCAAAGAGAAAACGCGUGAUUUUCUCUUAAAUGGGGGAUUGUCAAAGAGAAAACGCGUGAUUUUCGGUUAAAUGGGGAAUUGUCGAAGAGAAAACGCGUGAUUUUUGCUUAAAUGGGGGAUUUGCGAAGAGAAAACGCGUGAUUUUUCGGUUAAAUGGGGGAUUCCCAAAGAGAAAACGCGUGAUUUUCGGCUUAAAUGGGGGAUUCUCGAAGAGAAAACGCGUGAUUUUCACUUAAGUGGGGGAUUCUCAAAGAAAAAACGCGUGAUUUUCUCUUAAAUGGGGGAUUCUCGAAGAGAAAACGCGUGAUUUUCACUAAAAUGGGGGAUUCUCGAAGAGAAAACGCGUGAUUUUCGGGUUUAAAUGGGGGAUUUGUGAAGAGAAAAUGCGUGAUUUUUGGGUUAAAUGGGGGAUUGUCGAAGAGAAAACGCGUGAUUUUUGCUUAUAUGGGGAAUUUCCGAAGAGAAAACGCGUGAUUUUUUGGUUAAAUGGGGGAUUGUCGAAGAGAAAACGCGUGAUUUUUGCUUAAAUGGGGAAUUUCCGAAGAGAAAACGCGUGAUUUUUGGGUCAAAUGGGGGAUUCUCGAAGAGCAAAUGCGUGAUUUUUUCGCUUAAAUGGGGGAUUGUCGAAGAGAAAACGCGUGAUUUU
Molecule: long non-coding RNA, 1299 nt
Filed under: Gallus gallus (chicken)
Lineage: Eukaryota; Metazoa; Chordata; Aves; Galliformes; Phasianidae
Description: lncRNA (ENSGALG00010001434.1)
Source: RNAcentral